RNAcentral lists this transfer RNA (72 nucleotides) under Bos taurus (domestic cattle). It matches the Rfam family "tRNA". Rfam says of the family: Transfer RNA (tRNA) molecules are approximately 80 nucleotides in length. The record is from Rfam by way of RNAcentral. RNAcentral also lists the same sequence under 1 other name. Lineage: Eukaryota; Metazoa; Chordata; Mammalia; Artiodactyla; Bovidae.
UCCCUCAUAGCUCAGUUGGUAAAGAAUCUACUUGCAAUGCAGGUGACCUAGGUUUGAUUCCUAGGUAGGGAA